UACGAAGGGGGCUAGCGUUGUUCGGAUUUACUGGGCGUAAAGCGUGCGCAGGCGGUUAUGUAAGACAGAUGUGAAAUCCCCGGGCUCAACCUGGGAACUGCAUUUGUGACUGCAUAGCUAGAGUACGGUAGAGGGGGAUGGAAUUCCGCGUGUAGCAGUGAAAUGCGUAGAUAUGCGGAGGAACACCGAUGGCGAAGGCAAUCCCCUGGACCUGUACUGACGCUCAUGCACGAAAGCGUGGGGAGCAAACGAGG
This 254-nucleotide ribosomal RNA is filed under the name uncultured bacterium. Its description in RNAcentral is "partial 16S ribosomal RNA". It matches the Rfam family "Bacterial small subunit ribosomal RNA", at positions 524 to 777 of the family's 1533-position model. The record is from RNAcentral.